RNA transcript from Anastrepha ludens (Mexican fruit fly), 2501 nucleotides. It is a transcript of the gene named RNA-binding protein 45, with no coding region annotated. The transcript has 9 exons. The record is from RefSeq and is a predicted model, not a curated record. Lineage: Eukaryota; Metazoa; Arthropoda; Insecta; Diptera; Tephritidae.
AAUACUCAUCUCUAUUACCGGUAUACAUACAUUUCAUCCACGCCAUUUUAACUAGAACAGCUUGAAAAUUGUUUGCCAAUAAAAGUAAAAUUUAAUCAGUAAAUUUUGAGUAUUGCAAGGAAAAGAAAUCCAAUGUCCGAUUAUCGAUCGCAGUCACGGGAUGGGCACCGAGAUGGUGGACGUGGCGGUGGAGGCCGAGAUUAUUCCAGUGAUGACGAUCCGCCCAUGUCGCGUCUUUUCAUAAUUUGCAAUAAAGCUCAUACAGAAGAAGAUUUUCGAGAAGCAUUCUCUCCUUAUGGUGAAAUCGAAGAUAUUUGGGUGGUAAAGGACAAGAACUCCGGAGAAAACAAAGGGAUUGCUUAUGUAAAAUUUGCAAAGACAUCUGAUGCGGCUAAAGCGCAAGAAGAGAUGAAUGGCAAGACAAUUGGCAAAAUGGAUCGGACUUUGAAGGUGUUAGUAGCCGCCAACCGAAACCAGGGUUCUAACAAAUCUGAAAAUGAACAGGAAAAGUAUGUUCGCCUGUUCAUUGUUAUAUCGAAAUCAGCUACUGAAGACGAAAUAAGGAACGAAUUUUCCCAAUGGGGUGAUGUGGAAAAUGUAACGAUUGUCAAAGAUAAAUCAACUGGAUCACCCAAAGGAUUUGGAUAUGUCCGAUUUACAAAGUUCUAUCAUGCAGCUGUCGCAUUUGAAAAUUGCCCUCCCAAAUACAAAGCAGUUUUUGCUGAGCCUAAAGGCUCUACACGUUCACAAAGAGACCAGUACGGACGACAAACUGAUGAUAACCCACUGAUAGGCUCGAGUCGUGGUGGUGGGGGAGGCAGUAGUAGUGGCACCUAUAACAAUGGCAACUUUAAUAAUGACUGGAACUGCUCUUUCAACAGUGAUAUGGCAGCAUUCCUGAGAAUGCAAAAUGUUCCCAUGCCACAACCAACCUGUUUAGAAGUGAUCGCUAGUAAUUGUGUUAAUCAGGACCAGUUGUGGCGUUUAUUUGACAUUAUCCCUGGCUUAGAUUAUUGUCAAAUAACGAGAGAAUAUGGCCCAAGAACCAACGAAGCAAUUGUCGUUUAUGAUAAUCCUGAGGCAGCAAUUUAUGCAAAAGAUAAAUUGCAUGGCCUUGAAUAUCCGAUGGGCGAACGAAUCAUCGUUAAAGUGGCAGGGAUGAGUUCAGCUCGAAUGGAUACAUCGUUCAUAGAUAAACGAACUAAAAAAGAUUCAAUAUGUAAUGUACCAUUGCCACCUGCUCAGCCAAUGGCAUCUACUGACACACCAGUGGCACAACGAUUGUUUAUUGUAUUAGCUGCAAAUCUUCCACAGUCUAUUUUGAAGAAUGUAUUUUCAUGUUGGAAGGGUCUAAUCGAUGUGUACCUACUGCCGAAUAAAAAUUGUGGCUACGUAAAAUAUGCAGAUAGAGACAGCGCACAAAAGGCGAUUCAAGCGUUGAAUGGUGCCGAAAUUUGUGGCACGAAAAUAAAAGUAAUGGAAGCGGAAGAGCGGGGUAAUGGAGAUGGUGAUGACAAUGGAAGGAAACGCCUUCGAAGAAAUUAAACGUAAGCCAGUAAUUUAUUUUAAUUUUUAUUUUGUCGUUACAAAUAAUCAACAAAAGACAGUAUUUGUAUCUGACAUAAACAUAAAGCAAACCAAAUUAAAACCAUAACAAUAACGUUCCAUUACUUAAUAAAAACAAAAGAAAUAUAAUGAAACUAACUGACCGCAGAAAACAAUUACGGAAACGAAACGCAAACGGAGUUAAAACGGAAACUGCUAGACACAGAAGAACGAAGAUUUUGUAGAGGUGGUAAUAGCAUAUGCAUAAGAAUAUGUAAAGUGCUUCAGCAAUGAACAAACCGCCAACCCAACCGACUCAGACUUUCACAAUCACUCUGUCACAGUCAUAGUCACCACAAUAUGAAUAAAGCUACAUAAUGUCACUUGUAGACAAUGACCAAUUUGAGACAAAGUACCCCAAUACGCAAACGGAGCCAAACGCUAACGGAGCGCAACAGACACUGUAAUGAGCUACAGCUACAGUACAGAGAAAUAAUUGAUAUUAUGAGUGUUAAAUUGAGCAGAGGUUUUACAAGAAAAAAGUUAAACGAAAUUUACGAAAAAUUAAACGUAACUAGAACGAGAACGCGAACCUGAACUAAAACCCAUAUGGACGAAGAUAUGUACGCUAUGCACACGAUGCAAGAACCGAAUUAACUUUUACCACAGCAAACUUUAAUACUCCCUUUCAAAAAUUUACAUAUACCUAAAACCAGAUACUUUUAACACUUAAACAUCUAUCCAUACAUGUACAUGCCUAUUUAGACGUUUACUCAUUAUUUAUUCGUUUAUAGUUCACAGUUUGAAUUAGGAAAAUUUACUUUUUCUAAAUGCAAUCAAACUGUGGUGUAUGUGGGAAAUAUUCAACCGUAUUGCCAACAUAUUUGGCAUUUUAUUAUAUACAUAUGAAAUAUUUUAAUUGCCGAUUAUUAUGAAUAUAUUAAUAUUAUAAAUAU